GACAGAGGGUGCAAACGUUGUUCGGAAUUACUGGGCGUAAAGCGCGUGUAGGCGGCAGCGCAAGUCGGAUGUGAAAUCCCAUGGCUCAACCAUGGAAGUGCACCCGAAACUGCGUCGCUAGAGUCCUGGAGAGGAAGGUGGAAUGCUUGGUGUAAAGGUGAAAUUCGUAGAUAUCAAGCGGAACACCGGUGGCGAAGGCGGCCUUCUGGACAGUGACUGACGCUGAGACGCGAAAGCGUGGGGAGCAAACAGG
Molecule: ribosomal RNA, 253 nt
Filed under: uncultured bacterium
Lineage: Bacteria
Description: partial 16S ribosomal RNA
Rfam family: Bacterial small subunit ribosomal RNA
Source: RNAcentral